GAUGAACGCUGGCGGCGUGCCUAAUACAUGCAAGUCGAGCGAACAGAUGAGGAGCUUGCUCCUCUGACGUUAGCGGCGGACGGGUGAGUAACACGUGGAUAACCUACCUAUAAGACUGGGAUAACUUCGGGAAACCGGAGCUAAUACCGGAUAAUAUAUUGAACCGCAUGGUUCAAUAGUGAAAGACGGUUUUGCUGUCACUUAUAGAUGGAUCCGCGCCGCAUUAGCUAGUUGGUAAGGUAACGGCUUACCAAGGCAACGAUGCGUAGCCGACCUGAGAGGGUGUUCGGCCACACUGGAACUGAGACACGGUCCAGACUCCUACGGGAGGCAGCAGUAGGGAAUCUUCCGCAAUGGGCGAAAGCCUGACGGAGCAACGCCGCGUGAGUGAUGAAGGUCUUCGGAUCGUAAAACUCUGUUAUUAGGGAAGAACAAAUGUGUAGGUAACUAUGCACGUCUUGACGGUACCUAAUCAGAAAGCCACGGCUAACUACGUG
RNAcentral lists this ribosomal RNA (497 nucleotides) under uncultured bacterium. RNAcentral describes it as "partial 16S ribosomal RNA". It matches the Rfam family "Bacterial small subunit ribosomal RNA", at positions 28 to 507 of the family's 1533-position model. The record is from RNAcentral.